GAUGAAGAACGUAGCGAAAUGCGAUAAGUAAUGUGAAUUGCAGAAUUCAGUGAAUCAUCGAAUCUUUGAACCCACAUUGCGCCCGCUAGUAUUCUGGCGGGCAUGCCUGUCCGAGCGUCAUUUCAACCCUCAAGCCCCCGGGCUUGGUGUUGGGGAUCGGCGAGCCUCCGCGCCCGCCGUCCCCUAAAUCUAGUGGCGGUCUCGCUGUAGCUUCCUCUGCGUAGUAGCACACCUCGCACUGGGAAACAGCGCGGCCACGCCGUUAAACCCCCAACUUCUGAACGUUUGACCUCGGAUCAGGUAGGAAUACCCGCUGAACUUAAGCAUAUCAAUAAGCGGAGGA
This 343-nucleotide unclassified non-coding RNA is filed under the name soil metagenome. Its description in RNAcentral is "partial contains 5.8S ribosomal RNA, internal transcribed spacer 2, and large subunit ribosomal RNA". The stretch from base 1 to 120 matches the Rfam family "5.8S ribosomal RNA", at positions 35 to 154 of the family's 154-position model. The record is from RNAcentral.